CCUGCCAGUAGUCAUAUGCUUGUCUCAAAGAUUAAGCCAUGCAUGUCUAAGUAUAAACCGCUUGAACCGUUAAAAGUUCAAAACGGGUGAAACUGCGAAUGGCUCAUUAAAUCAGCAAUCGUUUACUUGAUUGUGUGCUAUUAUGGAGUUGGCUGGGGGGUUCGCCUUUCAGUCAAAGCUAUUAUGGCUGUAUGGAUAACCGUGGUAAUUCAAGAGCUAAUACAUUAUUAACAAGAGGUUGACUUUUCGCAAGAGAGGAAGAUCUGCAUUUAUUAGAUACAAUUGCAAAACCGAAACCUCCGGGCAACCGGGGUUUUAAUAGUUGGUGAUUCAUAGUGACUGUGCGAAUCGCAUGACACUCACUCUCACGAGUGAGACUUUGUCGGCGAUGGAUCAUUCAAAUUUCUGACCCAUCAAUUCUCGAUGGUUGGAUAGAGGCCAACCAUGUUGACGACGGGUAACGGAGAAUUGGGGUUCGAUUCCGGAGAGGGAGCCUGGAGAAACGGCUCCCACUUCCAAGGAAGGCAGCAGGCGCGCAAAUUGCCCAAUCCAUUCCAGCUCCAAUAGCGUAUGCUAAAAUUGCUGUAGUUGAAAAGCUCGUAGUUGGAUUUCGGAGUAAAAAGGAUGGGAUGGAGUGGUUAGCUCAAAAGGCUAACGUACGCCACCUAUCUGUCGAGAUUUAACUUGGUAUGAGGAACCAGCUGCUUUUCUUAAGUGGCGAGUUUUUCUUCCGAGGUCUCUUUACUCCUUUUUCUUGAAUGGAGAUUUUCUUAUUUGCGUUUCGGCGUAAAGGGGAUUUUUUCAUUCAAGAAGGUACGACUGGCUUGCUCGUAGCUAUUCUUUAUUGAAUAGCUAUUAUCUCAGGAAAGUGCAGGGAGCAAUCUUUGUAUUUUCUUGGGGUUUGGUGUCAGGGAGUUUUUUUUCCUUGGCAACAGAGCUCCAGUCCUUUUACCUUGAACAAAACAGAGUGUUCAAAGCAGGCUUAAAUUCGGCUGUCAAACGCCGAAAAACGCCUUGUAUGCUUCAGCAUGGGAUAAUGGAACAGGACCAGGUUGGGUCACGUGCAUAUUUCGUUUUGGUUUUCAGCCGUGAACAAAUUGAAUCUAAUAAAUUCACCCAACCGGUGAUGAUUGACAGGGACUGUCGGGGACAUUGGUAUUUAAUUGUCAGAGGUGAAAUUCUUGGAUUAAUUAAAGACCAACUUCAGCGAAGGCAUUUGCCAAGGAUGUUUUCAUUUAAUCAAGAACGAAAGUUGGGGGAUCGAAGAUGAUCAGAUACCGUCGUAGUCCCAACCGUAAACGAUGCCGACCAGGGAUCGGGAAUGGAAGUAAACAAAAAGGUGAUAGCAAUCCUGCGGGGUUGUGUGUAACUGAAUCGUCCUUCCCGGCACCUUACAUAUUUUAUCUUUCCGGGAAACCACGAGUUUUUGGGUUCUGGGGGGAGUCUGGUCGCAAGGCUGAAACUUAAAGGAAUUGACGGAAGGGCACCACCAGGAGUGGAGCCUGCGGCUUAAUUUGACCCAACACGGGGAAACUCACCAGGUC
This 1544-nucleotide ribosomal RNA is filed under the name uncultured soil eukaryote. RNAcentral describes it as "partial small subunit ribosomal RNA". It matches the Rfam family "Eukaryotic small subunit ribosomal RNA", at positions 13 to 1224 of the family's 1831-position model. The record is from RNAcentral.